Molecule: long non-coding RNA, 2646 nt
Filed under: Triticum aestivum (bread wheat)
Lineage: Eukaryota; Viridiplantae; Streptophyta; Magnoliopsida; Poales; Poaceae
Description: long non-coding RNA (TAES_LNC015949)
Source: RNAcentral
UAGAAUGAAAAUGAUAUAUUGAUUCAAUGGAACAAUCAGUUACAUUACAAUGGAAGUAUCAUCAAUUAGGAGUACAUCACUUCCUUCGAAAAAUAAAAUAAAACAAAAUAUAAAAUUUCUAAACAUUCAGAGAAUUGUCUUGUUUUUCCUCCAAGUACCAAGAACCAUCAUACGUUCUCCAAGAUCCAAGUAAUCAUCUUGUAUUGAAAUUCUCACCUACAAAGAAAAAUCAUAAUACUAUUUAGGCAUAAAUUCUAAAUGAAGUUUAAAAAUAAACAUAAUAUGUAUUGUACAUAAAAGGAUCCACAUAAAAAUUACAAAGUGUGAAAGAAAAGAUUGUUGGGGAAGAAGAAAUAAUCUUAUGUAUGUAUAACUAAUGACUUAGUAGGAGGACAUGUUAAAACACUGAUUAUCUUUAACCAAUCCAGUGUGCAUGUUCACUGCGAACAGCCAGCGGCAUGUAUUCACCACUAACAAUUAUCCAUAGAUUAUAUUAUAUCAAGAAUGAUAUGCAUUCAACAACCAACUAAAUGGUGAGUAGGCAAGCAAUAAUAUCGACUAUACAAAAUUGGAUAUUUCCGUUUUCUAAUGGUCUCAACACUAACUAGUUUAGUGUCACGAUUACCCACAUACUGCUCAUGCUUGCUAUGACGUAUUAGGAGAAAAGAACUCAAUGCCAACAGCUCAAAGUCAUUAACUAACCUACAUCACAAAAAAUUUCGUAGUUACCAGAGAACUACAAUGUCACAUUAUAAUUUCUCAAUCAAGAUUCAAGAAUAAGACUCUUAGAACUAGUAGAAGAAACAACAUGAAAAAGAAACACUUCUUUAGAUUUGGUCUUUUCUAGGGAAAAGUAGUGGAGUUUUGUUUCUAGAGAAGGUAGGAUCCAAGGUGUUUACAGGGAAAAAAUAAUAAUUUAAUGUGGCAAUAUUUAAUUUUUCAAGACCAACCUAUCAAUAAGCUGAAUAUAUAUUUAAGAAAAAAGCAUCAGGGGCGACCUAUGUAAUGGCUGAACAAUAUGAAUAAUAGCAAACCUAACUAAUGGAUGAACAAUUCUAUGUCAGUACUUACCCAGUUAUAAGAAACACUGCCCAUGUGCCUUUCCUGCCAAUGUAGAAUAUCAUAUGCCCAAGAGGAUUUGAUCUUUGGUCACAAUUCAGCUCCCUAAUCAUGUAUCAUUUGUCAUGCAUUGAAUACCUGAAUAUCAAUACCUAUAUGAAUCUACAAAAUAUAGGCAUGUACAAAAGUUAUGAUCGGAAAAAAUAGACAUAUACUGGCACACUUAACUAACAAAGACUCGCUGGACUAGUUAGUGUAAAAAUUAAGGAUAUGGAAUAAAUAAGAAUGCUGCGUCAUGAGGAGGAGAUAAGGAAAUGGACACCUUAGUGGACUGAACCAGGGGAGGAUUUAUCAAGUAAGCGAAUGGGUUGCCUGACUUUCUGUGAUUAUGUCAUAAGCUAUACAUUUCCAUCUGCCCCUGAAGCUGCACGCCAAUAAAGAAAGUUAAUCCCUUACACGAUCAGCCAAGGCAAAUUAAUGAUUUUAACACAAUCUUAUCAAUCUGCGCAUCUAUUGUCAACAGUUCAAAACCUGACCUGUAGGACAGUUUCAUACCAACAUCAUGGUUACUGCAUUGUUUAGAUACUGAUAGACUGCUAGCUGACAUCUUGCAAGCACAAAAAUUGCAAGGGAAAAAAAAAUCAUAUGAUGAGAUACAGGUGGAACAAAUAAUACUAACCAUUGCAUGGAAAAAGGGGCCAUGGACUCAAUAAGGAGCUAGAUGGUUUCAUGAUUAUUAUUGUACGCAUUGUACAUAUUAUUGAGUAAAUUUUGCAAUGGAUAGUAAAAAAGAGAAUCUGAUCAAGAGAAAGAUUAGAGAAGAGAUAACAAGUAGUUCGUUCAAUUUGCAAGAAUUUUAAAACAUACAGAUCUUCUAUAUUUUUUAUUUGGGAAUGAAUAUCAUCUACGGUAUAGGUACUAAUAUAAGGAGAAGCAAUAUCAGCAGCAAUGGCAACAGCAAUCAUCGGCAGCAGCAAUAGCAACCAGCGGCGAUAGCAAACAAUCAGCGUCAGCGGUAAUCAACUUCUAUCUACUGUAUAGGAAGUUAGGAACUAAGGAGCAGCAUCGGCCUAGUAAUCAGCGGCAGUAGCAAACAAUCAGUGUCACAUGGCUGUACUUUCAAUCAGCACGGACGCACCACACAGAGACAUCAGACAUGCACACGAGCCAACCACGCACGCAGCUGUAGACAAACGCACGCGAGACCACCAGAGCUUGAGCACGCCGGGUGCCAAAAUAAAUCCAAAAGGGGCACCACCGCCGCCGAAGGCUUCGCGAGCCACAAGAACCACCCGCACGCGCGGGAUCCAAUUGGCAGUUGAGGAACACGGCCGGAGUUCCACCCUAUCCUACUCUCACCUCGGGUCCGUCUCCACUUCCGGCCAGCACCGAGACAAGGGAGCAUCACCCUACACACAGCUUGUUUCAGAUCCAUGCCCGAGCCUGCAGCAGCGACGCGGAGCAGUGGCCUCCGAAACAGAGGCGAGCGAGCUGCGCCGACAAUCCAUGUCGACUAGUACUGCAGGACGCGUGCAGUGGCGUGGAGGACGUCGCCAAGGAAGAAUAUAGGACGAGUGCACUGAGGGG